Molecule: long non-coding RNA, 842 nt
Organism: Hemiscyllium ocellatum (epaulette shark)
Lineage: Eukaryota; Metazoa; Chordata; Chondrichthyes; Orectolobiformes; Hemiscylliidae
Exons: 4
Source: RefSeq, a predicted model, not a curated record
UUUCUGUAUCUUCCUCCAGAAAAACACCUGAGGGACUAAGACGCUGUAAUACUUCCUCAGUUCAAAGCACAGAGUGACCAGCUGCCUCUAACAAACAGAAGGGUUGUGAUCCAAAUUCAAAGAAGACAGAAGAUCUGACGAGUUAGAAUUGACAGUGGGGCAGUCCUGGCGUGUACGAACACCAAGCAAGUACUCAAAGGACCAAGACAAUGUAAUAUUCCCUCGGUACAGAGCCAAGUGUGACCAGCUGCUUCCAACAAACAGCAGGAUUCGAAGACUGACCUUGAUGAUUGUUGUAUCACAUACGCCAGACUGAACCUCAGCGAGCCCUCGCAGGAAGAAGAUGGAGGGGACGGAAACGUUUAUAUGAAUAUUCUAUGGAAGUAAGAAGCAAGAAGACAGAUUGGUUGAGGGGUGUUGAUUCGAUUCAGUGCACCGUCCAGAGAAGCGAUACAAUGUACCUGCUGUGUACAGAUAACAAACCUCUUAACUUUAUGUUGGAAACUGUGUUUCACAAGGCAUUUUCUUCCGGGGAAGCUACUUUCACGUCAAUGGGGGCCAUGAAAAAGAAAUAAACAAAAGGAAAGUACAGGAAAGGAACAGGCCCUUUGGCCCUCCAAGCCUGUGCUGACCAUCAUGCCCUAACCAACCUCAAAACAUAAACACAGCUCAUGGCUUUAUUUGGUCUUUAUCCCACUAUUCCCUCCCUGUUCAUGUGAUCUCACAGAUACCUUUUAAAAGUGCCUGCGUCCACCAUCACUUCUUGCAAUGCUUUUCAGGUUCCCACUACUCACUGCAUGAAAUGCUUCUCUUUCACAUCUCCCUUAAAUUCCACCCCCCCC